Long non-coding RNA from Chenopodium quinoa (quinoa), 1662 nucleotides. RefSeq lists it as uncharacterized. The transcript is spliced from 2 exons. Lineage: Eukaryota; Viridiplantae; Streptophyta; Magnoliopsida; Caryophyllales; Amaranthaceae. The record is from RefSeq and is a predicted model, not a curated record.
UCAGCCGAUGAGAUAGCGAGUGAACUCAAAUAUAGGGUUGGGCCUAGUCAAGCCCAAAAUGUGUAGGCCUAACACGAGAGGCGUUUAGACCAUCUAAUCUAUAACUAAUACGGAGUAUUAAAAUAACAAAAGUUGAAUCAACACCACGAACCUCACCACCUCACUAACCAUGAAGGCACGAACCACAACAUAACCACUGCAAACUCCAAAUCCAGUGGCGGACCUGGGCUUGUGCCUGGUGGGUCAAGUGACUCACUAGGGCCCAAAAAAAAUUUUAAGGUUUUUUUUUUAAAAAAAAAAAAUAAAUAAAAAAAAAAUAAAAAUAAAAAAUUCUAACGUCUGAGUUAGCCCUAGCCCACUUCGCCCUAGCCCACUUCGCCAGUUCGCCUCUUCCUCUUCGCAAGUUCGCAUCUUCCUCUUCGCCUCUUCCUCAGACCUCAGUUCCUCUUCGCUAGUUCGCUUCAUCUUCCUCUUCGCAUAAUUUCAGUUUGCUCACGCCUCCAGUGCUGGCUGUGCUGCUGGCCUGCUGGCUGCUGCUCGCCUAGUCGCUUGCUCCAGCCUCCAGUGCUCUGUGCAGCUGUGCUCUGUCCUCUGCUGCUCGCCUAGUCGCCUGCUCCAGUGCCUAGUCGCUGACUUGCUGUCUUGCUGAGUGUUGGGCAUGGCCCUGCUGCAGUGCUGCUCCGCCUGCUCCGCUGCUCGCCUCAAUCAUUCAGCGCCUGCCGCCUCCUCCUAGCAAGGUAGGUAAUCAUCAAUUGAUUCUUUUUUUUUUGUGAAUAUUUGAUCAAAUUUGCAUUACUUGUCUCUUAAAAUUAGUAUAUACGGUGAAUGUUCAUUGAAUUUGCAUUAUUUGUGUAAAUUGUGUUUUGACUGUUAAAUUGAACUUAUUAGUUUAUCUGUUUAUGUCAUUAUGUGAAAUUGUGAAUAUGUGAUGACGGACAUUGUAUAAGACAACAAUUAAACUAUUAGUGUAAGGAGGAUUAUAAAUUUAUAAUUAGAUUACAGUUUGGACUGGUUAGUGCUUAGUGGUGCUAGUCGCAUAUUCGGCUGGAAGUUCCGUAUAGACUAGUGGAGAUAUUAGUUUGUUGAUUUUAGUCUUGUCAAUUUUAAGCUUUUUAAUUAUUAGUUAGUAUUGUAAUCUUGUCAAUUUUCUAUUUGGAUGAUCUUUGUAAAUAAUUUUUCUGGGGAAUAUUGCUUGAUUUAGUUGAAUAUGAACCGUCCAACCAAUUAUGAUUAGGGAUAAUUCGCUGUUGGGGUUAUUUGCAUAUGAUUCAUACUUGUGAUUUCAUUUGUUUUGUUAACUUUGUGUUUGAUUAGGUUGUUGAAUUUAUAUGCAGGGAAGACUCAGCUUAUCAAUCAUUUUCUAAUCAACAAGAGUUGGUAUAUUGUUAAUUUGCCUGGAUAUGGGUGAGUCUCUGUAAUUUUGGUUUUAAUUUGGGCAAUUUUGAAAGGAUACCUAGAUCUUAUUUCAAAGAUCUUCGUGCUCAUAAGCGUGCUUAAGCGAUGAUGAUAGCUUUACUAAGUUUCCUACAUCAUCAUGAAAUUUACGAAUAAUACUACAAUGAACAUUAGUAUGUACUUCCUUUGCCUCCUAUUGUUUCUCCGUAUUUUGAUGGAUCUUGUUGGAUUUGUCACAGCAUGUAUUAUAAACAUCAGUAUUUGUUA